Molecule: long non-coding RNA, 371 nt
Filed under: Nicotiana benthamiana
Lineage: Eukaryota; Viridiplantae; Streptophyta; Magnoliopsida; Solanales; Solanaceae
Description: long non-coding RNA (NBEN_LNC032798)
Source: RNAcentral
AGGAGACCCAUGUGCAUUUCCUCUGUUCUGUGCUCGCUACGCCCUUGUGCCUUUAGUUGAAGUAUAGGUCGUCGAUUCAAUCUAUCUUGAUGGGAUUUUUCUAGUAGGUAGCGAGAAGACUAGUAGUAUCGACAAGGGGCUACAUCAAUAGCUGAAACUUUUUUUCGGGUAGGGUAGGCUUGGAGUCAGAAGUCCUAUUCUUCCCAACCAAAUAAGCACUUUUGCAAAGUUCACCUUCCCGCGGUCAAAACAAGACUUACGGAUAACAAUCAGACCUUACCAGGGACAGGGACCAGACUAUAGAGCCUAAUUAAAAAGAAUUCGGGCUUGCUUUUUCAAUUCACAUCGAUUCCUCUAUCUCUUGCUCGCUU